ACCGGCAGCUAGCUCUCUGCAUCUCACAUGGUCAUCCACUGAAGCUAAGCAGGGCUGCACCUGGUCAUUACCUGGAUGGGAGAACACAUGGGAAAACUAGGUUACUGUUGGAA
This 113-nucleotide ribosomal RNA is filed under the name Danio rerio (zebrafish). The record is from RNAcentral. Lineage: Eukaryota; Metazoa; Chordata; Actinopteri; Cypriniformes; Danionidae.